Molecule: ribosomal RNA, 253 nt
Filed under: uncultured bacterium
Lineage: Bacteria
Description: partial 16S ribosomal RNA
Rfam family: Bacterial small subunit ribosomal RNA
Source: RNAcentral
UACGUAGGUGGCAAGCGUUAUACGGAUUUAUUGGGCGUAAAGGGAACGCAGGCGGUCUUUUAAGUCUGAUGUGAAAGCCUUCGGCUUAACCGGAGUAGUGCAUUGGAAACUGGGAGGCUUGAGUGCAGAAGAGGAGAGUGGAACUCCAUGUGUAGCGGUGAAAUGCGUAGAUAUAUGGAAGAACACCAGUGGCGAAAGCGGCUCUCUGGUCUGUAACUGACGCUGAGGUUCGAAAGCGUGGGUAGCAAACAGG